GUGAACGCUGGCGGUAGGCCUAACCCCUGCAAGUCGAACGGCAGCACAGUAAGAGCUUGCUCUUACGGGUGGCGAGUGGCGGACGGGUGAGGAAUACAUCGGAAUCUACUUUUUCGUGGGGGAUAACGUAGGGAAACUUACGCUAAUACCGCAUACGACCUACGGGUGAAAGCAGGGGAUCUUCGGACCUUGCGCGAUUGAAUGAGCCGAUGUCGGAUUAGCUAGUUGGCGGGGUAAAGGCCCACCAAGGCGACGAUCCGUAGCUGGUCUGAGAGGAUGAUCAGCCACACUGGAACUGAGACACGGUCCAGACUCCUACGGGAGGCAGCAGUGGGGAAUAUUGGACAAUGGGCGCAAGCCUGAUCCAGCCAUACCGCGUGGGUGAAGAAGGCCUUCGGGUUGUAAAGCCCCUUUGUUGGGAAAGAAAAGCAGCAGGUUAAUACCCCGCUGUUCUGACGGUACCCAAAGAAUAAGCACCGGCUAACUUCGUG
RNAcentral lists this ribosomal RNA (491 nucleotides) under uncultured bacterium. RNAcentral's name for it is "partial 16S ribosomal RNA". It matches the Rfam family "Bacterial small subunit ribosomal RNA", at positions 29 to 507 of the family's 1533-position model. The record is from RNAcentral.